CCGCGCCACUUUCAUUCUCAAUUAUCGUGAAGCAUGUGACAGCGUGGCGAAAAUGAUAUCGUCAUUGAAAGUACAGUUUUUGACGUGCCUAGAUAGCCGAGCGGUCAAUAUUUGUGUUAUUCCAUAAUGGUUAUUGUAAAAUAGCAUCAGCUAGAACGAUAAUGGAGGCCAGUACUGGAGAAAUUACCCCGCCGUCAUUAGCAUCACCCACCCUCUAUUUCACUCAGAUAGAAGUCAAUUCACUUAAAGAAUUCCUCUAUACUGUUACCACAGAAGAACUUCGACAGCUUCUGAAGAUGUUCAAAACCAGAUGUUUAAUUUCCGAAGAGAUGUAUACUCGUCUAGAUCAAAUUCAUCGUCAAAGUGGAGAUAUGGACGAAAUGUUUACCUUGCUCAUAACACACCUGUCUCAGAGAUGUACUUCAGGUUUACCGUACGUUUUGUUUGUAUUGUACCAUUCUGGUUACCAGAACCUGGCUUAUACACUUAACACCAUAUAUCAAAAUAUCCUGGAAAUGUUCAAAAGAAAACCACCUCAAGUGCAAAGAUUAGAUACACGGAACAGAAAAAAAAUUCAAAUUUAUUUCAAAUCUAUGAAGACAAAUCUUCAAAACAUGAUAUUCCUUGAUCCCGUUGAUUAUUUCAUGAAACGAUCGAUAGAAUUUAGACAAAAGAUAUACACUACUGUGCCUUCCUCAGAAGACACAAUUCUUCAAGAAUUUUGUGAUAAAUAUGUUGUAGCCUUAGCGUUCACUAUUGAUACAAUGGCAAAUAAAACUAACCAUAUUGAUCCUAACCACGAACUCUUCCAGGAUAUGGAGUCCAUUAUCUCUUUAACGUCAUGCCCAGACCUGUCUCGCUGUAUGUUGUAUGACAGAAGAGCUGUGGUUUUGUCGUUUGCGAACAAAAAAAAGGAGAGGGAGAAGGGCUCUUAAGAGAAGGUCUUAUUUGCGCACAGAGAGUUUCCAGUUGUUUAGAGAUCGUUGACCUACACUAUAAAAGUGUUCUCUUUCUCAGGGCAUGGUUUGAACGAUUUCCUCAAAUUAUACUGAAUCGUAUUUAUGGACACAUGCAAAGUGCAAUGCAAAUUUUAGAAAAUGAGCCAGAUGACUUUAGAAGGUUUUGGACGCAGAGGUUUAUCUUCCGUUUCCUCUGUUGUUUCUUAGGUUUGGGGAUGCGUUGUCGUUUUAUUGAAAAGUUUAUCUGCCCUUUCUACAUACUACAAGAGGCCGAGAGAUUACUUAGCAAGUAUGAUUCGCCGGAUGCUGAGUGUCGUCUGCAGAUGUAUUUUGCCAUUGCCAAAUCCCGAUUGUGGAAUUUGAAAGGUGACAAUAAUGCAGCCUUGGAAUAUAUUUCUCAGGCUAAAGAGAUCGCUUGCAGAGGCAACUUCAGUGAAGUUAACACUAUUUCAGCUGCGGAGCAGGUUCUACUCCUGCCUGACGUACAACCCUUAUUUGUUGAAACGGAGAGCAACAAUAAUUUCACAGACAUCAUUGUCGCAGAACCAAUCCAUCUUCCUCCAUUUUAUCAUCUUCCAUCAUCGUCAAACUUCAGCGAUCAUUUGUUAACGUUGACCUCUCGAUCAGUCUCUGAAGUAUCUAUUUCAGUGCAAGGUUCCAUCAAAGAGGAAGAAAUUGGAAAUGAAGUCCACAUGCCAUCUGACGAAUCCAUACCCACUGAAGAAGCUGCAAUAUCUCACAAUUUUUCUCGGGAGGUUGUUCAAUUGAGGUCUGCCAAAAUAAAUCGUGAAACGAUAUGAACUUUGACAUGCAAUUUGCGGAUCGCCGAUUCUCAAAUAAACCCGGCCAAGGUGACGACGGUAACUAAGAAGUAUUAUGCCAGAUAUUCGAUGUAAACAAUAUGACGACCGUAUUGUCUUUGAAGGACAUACCAGAUGAUUUUUCUGAUACGUUCUUUAACUAUACACCUUCCUUGCCUUAAAAGAAAAGGGCCACAAGUUUUGUUAAAGACUCAUAUGUUAAAUCCAUGAAUUUAUAUUCAAUUGGAGAUGAAAAUAUUCAGAUUGAAGAGCAUGUAUUCCGAAGCCUGCAUAAGACUGAAGAACCACGCAAAGUGAACUUAGACAUGAACGUUCCAGUUCAGAAAUUUGACGAUGCUCACUGCAGCUGCAAGGCGGGUUUGAUGUAUUUUAAUUUUGUGACCCGUUUAAAACAGGUUUAUCCAAGAUCAGAUCCAAGUCUUCUCCGCUGCAACUUUUGUUCUUGGGAUGCAAUGUCAUGCAUUUGUUGUUGAUUAACAAAGUUAGCCUGUAACAGUUUUUUCACUCUUCUGUCAAUGCUCUGUUUUCGCCAACAAUGGACAAAAGGUUGAGUUGAGAGGCACCGGCGCCACCGGUACAACCAAUUACAGAGUCUUGUUGAGCAAAUAGUUGUGCAGACACUGCAUUUUCGGAGGCCCUACCUGUACAUGACCUUGAAAAUAUUCAACAUCUAAAACAAGAGUGGAGUGACCUUAACAUAAAAGUCAACACGAGGACAGAGUGUAUAUCAAAAGUGGCAUAAGGAACGAAGAAAGAUAACUGCCUCUCACUUUAAACUUAUAAUGAAAAGGAAAAAGGAUGUCAAUGAAAGGUUUUGAGAAAAAAUAUUCAUCUUAUGUUCUACAUCUUAUGGAAAAGGUAACGAAAUUGUUGCAAAGCAAAUGUACCUAAAAGGACAGGAAAUCACCUCCAUGAUGUAGGUUUCAUUGUUAUUCCUGAUUUGUCGUUUUUAGGUGCAACACCUGAUGGCAUUAUGUGUGAAAACUAUUAUACAGGUAUAAUUGAAAUCAAAUGUCCAUAUUCUGUUAGAGACCCUCUGCGAUGUUUGUGUAGAAUGCAUUUACCCCAAAAAACACAUCUACUAUUAAUACCUUAAUCCAGAAAUCAUCUUUGUUUUAUGUUGAACAUUUUAAACCAUUAGUGUAUGACUCAAUAACUACUGAAAUGACGUAAUUUAUCAUGGAUGCUGUGGAGUCAUUUGAAUUUCCAUGGAUUGCUAAGACUUUAUAUUUUCAAUUUUGAUGGACUGUAAUUUUGUAAAACUCUAUAAUUUCGGUAUAUUAAAAUAUCGUAUUAAUUUU
This is a long non-coding RNA of Ostrea edulis (European flat oyster), 3081 nucleotides long. RefSeq lists it as uncharacterized. Lineage: Eukaryota; Metazoa; Mollusca; Bivalvia; Ostreida; Ostreidae. The transcript is spliced from 6 exons. The record is from RefSeq and is a predicted model, not a curated record.